This 1752-nucleotide long non-coding RNA is filed under the name Cricetulus griseus (Chinese hamster). Its description in RNAcentral is "lncRNA (ENSCGRG00015037862.1)". The record is from RNAcentral. Lineage: Eukaryota; Metazoa; Chordata; Mammalia; Rodentia; Cricetidae.
CUCAACUCUGGACAUAAGGAUGAAAUUGUUUUGUCAUAAAAAACCUAGCACAUCCAUUUCGAGUGAAGGUAUAUAGAUGUGUUUUCAUUAAAUAGAAUACAGGUAGGAUGGACUACAAGAGGUUUCUGAAAUAGUUACUAACAGCUCUUUGCCUGCAAGAGUUCUUGUGAAAUGAGCUACCUAGUUAAUAGUUUGCUAUGUGAGCAUUGUUGUGUGAAUUGCAUGCACGCUGUCAGUGCCUGCUUAUUGUCAAUUGACUUCCGAAUUUCAGGGGCACCAUGUGGCAGAGUGUCUGAUUUUAAUAUCACAAAGCUGAUGCCUAGAGUAAUUGUAAUGAACAUGGCUGCAUUUGGAAGCUGCCACUUUAGAGCUAGUACUUAAGCUGAGAAGUCCAGUUGUGUGCACUUAAGGAAGAGAGCGAGAGCAUGGAAGCGCUUUGCAGUGUAAAAAUACUCUGUAACUUGAUCACAUGCUUCUUUUCCAGAGUUGUUGAAGCAGAGGAAUGCUGAGACUAAGCUGCAGCAGUUACAUACCCAGUGCUCGACAGAAUUGGUUUGGUACAGGCAAUAGAUUCUUUUUGUCUUCAAGGGAGGGAGGCAUCAGUGCUGGUUAAACCUUAAUUAGGGAGUAGCGAUCAUUUAAAAUUGACCAAAGGAAGAGAGGGAGAUGGAGAAAUUGGUAAGUGGAGGUACCUAGCCAAGAAGUUCUCAUGGCUCUUUGUGUUGAGGCAAAGUAAUGGGGCAACUGUGCAAUUUAGAGCUGACGCUCACUGAGUUAGCUGGGACUAUAUAACUCCAUGGUGGAGUGCUUGCCUAAGUUCAAUCCCUGGCACCACACACAGACAAAGAACACUCAAUCAGAAAGCUGCUUCCAUAAUAGCUUUCUGCACUGAUGUCUGAUUUUCAGCAAGUAAACCGUCUGAGGAAUUACCUUAUGGGGGGGGGGGGAAACAUUACGUGUCCUAUAAAACUUUGAAGGGGAGGAGGAAUGCUAGGAAAUAAAAGUAAAAACUGAAACAUUGUUAGGAUGGUGGGAAGCAUGCUGGAAACAAGUAUAGGUCACCAAGUCAGUGUAGUUCUAUAAAGCUACUUGAUCUCAGGGCUCAGGCUUCAAAACAAAUCAGGAUCCAACUCUGGUUUUGCUUUGGAAACUUAAGAGCCAGGAGUGUAAGUGUUGGUGUUCUCACAGGAAGCAGGUUGUUGUAGGGCUAAAGGAUUUAACUCAACUUCUGAGAUUUUUCUUACAAAGUCAUUUAGUACUGUUACAUUUAGCAUUUAUGACUACGGAGAAUGAUCCAAAACACUUAAGCCCCAUUGGUCACAUUUAUCAUCAGAUGGUGAGGGUACUGACCAAAUUUUAGUAGUUGUGCUUGAAUAGCUACCUUAAGCCUUCGGUAGUCUAAUAAUUCCUUGAGUAGGUGCUUCUGUCAAGAACCUUCAGCUCUCAAGCAUUUAUUUAGACUUCUUAAUGAUAGUUUAGCAUAGGGAAUACUAGAGUAAAAGUAAAUGCUGAAUUCAAAGGAGUGGGAAGAAAUUAUUCAGAGACCUUUUUGACAAAUAGUAACGUUUACAGACCCAACCGUUCUUAAAAAUCUUCAAUUAGGAAAACUCUCCUUGAUUUCUUCUGGCUAAAUACUGGUUGUAAAAUGAUUUGAAUAAUACAAAAAGUGGUGUGGUUUAUUUGGUUUUGUAGUUGGAUAGAGUGUAGGUAUUGUAGAUCACUUUUUUGGAAUGUUUUGUAUUGAAACCCAAU